GACGAACGCUGGCGGCGUGCUUAACACAUGCAAGUCGAACGGAAAGGCCCUGCUUUUGCGGGGUGCUCGAGUGGCGCACGGGUGAGUAACCCGUGAGUAACCUGCCCUUGACUUUGUGAUAACUUCAGGAAACUGCGGCUAAUACCGGAUAGGAGCUCCUGCUGCAUGGUGGUCGUUGGAAAUCUUCGGCGGUAGUGGAUGGACUCGCGGGUAAUCAGCUUGUUGGUGGGGUAGUGGCUUACCAAGUCUUUGACGGGUAGCCGGCAUGAGAGGUGUGACAGCGACCUGGGGCCUAAGGGAGGGACCAGAAGGGAAUGGGAGGCAGAGGGGGGGAAUAUUGCACAGUGGGGGGAAGCGUGUGGCGGAGGCGCCGGGAGCGGAAUGCCGGCCUUCGGGUGGUAAACCGCUUUCGCAUGUGACGAAGCGUGAGUGACGGUAAUGGGUAAAGAAGCACCGGCUAACUACGUG
This 468-nucleotide ribosomal RNA is filed under the name uncultured bacterium. Its description in RNAcentral is "partial 16S ribosomal RNA". It matches the Rfam family "Bacterial small subunit ribosomal RNA", at positions 28 to 507 of the family's 1533-position model. The record is from RNAcentral.